GGAAGGAUCAUUAACACGAUUCUUCAAUAAUCUUAACCUUGUGUUUACACGUUACUCUGUCUUUUUUAAAACCUUUUUAAUUGUUUUUGUUUCGGAUUUGCUUGCAAAUCUGACAAACAAUCUAAAUUGAAAAACAACUGCUAACAUUGGAUGUCUUGGUUCUCGCAACGAUGAAGAACGCAGCGAAAUGCGAUAUGUAAUGUGAAUCGUAGAAUCCGUGAAUCAUCAAAUCUUUGAACGCAAAUGGCACUCUCGGGUAUUCCCGGGAGUAUGCCUGUUUGAGAAUCAUUUUCUUAUCUCGUUUUCAAAUAUUUUGUUUGAGAACGGUAAAUGAGCGUCACUCUAACAAGGUGUCGUUCCAAGUAUUGCGCUGGGCAGCCACAGAAGAAAUCUAGGUGAUUUAAUUGCUCAAGGUUUCUUUUUCUGCGGUCGCAUUAACCAGUGCUUUCCUUAAUUUAAUAUUCAUACCAUUAUCUCAAAUCAGGCAAGGCUACCCGCCGAAUUGAAGCAUCUCAAUAAGCGGAGGAAAAGAAACUAACUAGGAUUCCCUUAGUAACGGCGAGUGAAGCGGGAACAGCUCAAUCUUUAAACCGGGGAGCUUCGCUCUUCGGGUUGUAGAUUAGAGAGGCGCUUUCGAGGGAAAUCUCAGGUAUAAGUCUCCUGGAAAGGGGCGUCAUAGAGGGUGACAAUCCCGUAUAUGAUCUGGGCAUUUCUCUCAUACGAGGCGCUUUCGCAGAGUCGAGUUGCUUGGGAGUGCAGCUCUAAACGGGUGGUAAAUUUCAUCUAAAGCUAAAUAUUGGCGAGAGACCGAUAGCGAACAAGUACCGCGAGGGAAAGAUGAAAAGAACUUUGAAAAGAGGGUCAAAAGGGCCUGAAAUUGUUAGCAGGGAAACGAUUAAAACUGGGCAUACGCUUGAGGAUAAGGUUGGGCAUUUGGGCGUUCCGUUGUUUCGGCGAUCGCAAGACGCUGGGGCUGCGCAAUUGCUCGAGGCCUGGCUUCUUUUCUUUAGGCGUGCGCCAACAUCAGCCAGGGCUUCAGGUGAAGUCCGUUGGGAAGGUAGGUUGGCCCUCAAAAGCUGACUGUUAUAGCCCAGCGGAACUACUGUUGGCUUGGCUGAGGAAUUGCAGCGCGCGCUUAGCUUGAGGCUCUUGGUCUGACCGUCUGUGGGUCACCGGACAGCCUAGCUGUGCGGGGUCCAUGGGCGGCCAUUCUGGGAAGUCUUUCAUACGCGCGCUCAAGAUGUUGGCACAACGGUUUUAACCGACCCGUCUUGAAACACGGACCAAGGAGUCUAACAUAUAUGCGAGUAUUUGGGUGGUAAACCCAAGUGCGGAAUGAAAGUAAAACUUGGUGCGAGCCUUGGCUCAGCCUUGGUGCAGCACCGACCGAUCUGGAGGUUUUCUGAAAGAUUUGAGUAAGAGCAUAUCUGUUGGGACCCGAAAGAUGGUGAACUAUGCCUGAAGAGGAUGAAGCCAGAGGAAACUCUGGUGGAGGUCCGUAGCGAUUCUGACGUGCAAAUCGAUCGUCAAAUUUGGGUAUAGAGGCGAAAGACUAAUCGAACCAUCUAGUAGCUGGUUCCCUC
This 1583-nucleotide unclassified non-coding RNA is filed under the name uncultured fungus. RNAcentral describes it as "sequence contains 18S rRNA gene, ITS1, 5.8S rRNA gene, ITS2, 28S rRNA gene". The stretch from base 471 to 1583 matches the Rfam family "Eukaryotic large subunit ribosomal RNA", at positions 1 to 961 of the family's 3401-position model. The record is from RNAcentral. Lineage: Eukaryota; Fungi.